AGAGUUUGAUCCUGGCUCAGAACAAACGCUGAUGGCGUGCUUCAUACAUGCAAGUCGAGCGAGAAGGUAGUGCUUGCACUACCGGAGAGCGGCGAACGGGUGAGUAACACGUAAACAAUCUGCCCUUAAGUUGGGGACAACCAUUCUAACGAAUGGCUAAUACCGAAUAUUGUUAAUUUUUCGCAUGAUAAGUUAACGAAAGGCUUCGGCCGCUUAAGGAUGAGUUUGCGUCCCAUUAGCUAGUUGGCGGGGUAAUGGCCCACCAAGGCAUCGAUGGGUAGCCGGCCUGAGAGGGUGAUCGGCCACAUUGGGACUGAGAUACGGCCCAGACUCCUACGGGAGGCAGCAGUAGGGAAUUUUGCACAAUGGGGGAAACCCUGAUGCAGCAACGCCAUGUGAGGGAUGAAGCAUUUAGGUGUGUAAACCUCUGUCGACAGGGAAUAAUAACUGCUUGCAGUUUGAAUGUACCUGUAAAGGAAGCACCGGCUAACUUCGUGCCAGCAGCCGCGGUAAUACGAGGGGUGCAAGUGUUGUUCGGAAUCACUGGGCGUAAAGGGAGCGUAGGCGGAAAUUCAAGUCAGAUGUUUAAUCCCGGGGCCCAACCCCGGUCUUGCGUCUGAAACUGGGUUUCUUGAAUAGAACAGAGGUGAAUGGAAUUCCCGGUGUAGCGGUGGAAUGCGUAGAUAUCGGGAGGAACACCAGUUGCGAAGGCGAUUCACUGGGUUCAUAUUGACGCUGAGGCUCGAAAGCGUGGGGAGCGAACAGGAUUAGAUACCCUGGUAGUCCACGCUGUAAUCGAUGAAUACUAGGUGUCGGAUUGGUUAACGAUUCGGCAUUGCAAGCAAACGCGUUAAGUAUUCCGCCUGGGGAGUACGCUCGCAAGAGUGAAACUCAAAGGAAUUGACGGGGGCCCGCACAAGCGGUGGAGGAUGUGGUUUAAUUCGAAGCAACGCGAAGAACCUUACCAGGACUUGACAUGAGGGUGACCGUACGAGAAAUCGUGCUUUAUACUUCGGUAUACACCCUACACAGGUGCUGCAUGGCUGUCGUCAGCUCGUGUCGUGAGAUGUUGGGUUAAGUCCCGCAACGAGCGCAACCCUCGUCUUUAGUUGUCAUGUUACCUUCGGGUAACGACCCUCUAGAGAUACCGCCGUGAAUAACGCGGAGGAAGGUGGGGAUGAGGUCAAGUCAUCAUGGCCCUUACGUCCUGGGCUACACACGUCCUACAAUGGUCGGUACAGCGAGUAGCGAAAUCGUGAGAUGGAGCAAAUCUCCAAAGCCGGCCUCAGUUCGGAUUGCAGUCUGCAACUCGACUGCAUGAAGGUGGAAUCGCUAGUAAUCGCGGAUCAGCACGCCGCGGUGAAUACGUUCCCGGGCCUUGUACACACCGCCCGUCAAGCCAUGGAAGAAGGGAGCGCUCUAAGUCGUGAUGGUAACCCGCAAGGGAGCCUAGCGCCUAAAGUGAGACUUUUGACUGGGGCUAAGUCGUAACAAGGUA
RNAcentral lists this ribosomal RNA (1498 nucleotides) under metagenome. RNAcentral's name for it is "bacterial SSU rRNA". It matches the Rfam family "Bacterial small subunit ribosomal RNA". The record is from RNAcentral.